This 460-nucleotide ribosomal RNA is filed under the name uncultured bacterium. Its description in RNAcentral is "partial 16S ribosomal RNA". It matches the Rfam family "Bacterial small subunit ribosomal RNA", at positions 338 to 795 of the family's 1533-position model. The record is from RNAcentral.
CCUACGGGAGGCAGCAGUGAGGAAUAUUGGUCAAUGGACGAGAGUCUGAACCAGCCAAGUAGCGUGAAGGAUGACUGCCCUAUGGGUUGUAAACUUCUUUUAUAUGGGAGUAAAAUGUUCCACGUGUGGGCUUUUGUAUGUACCCUAUGAAUAAGGAUCGGCUAACUCCGUGCCAGCAGCCGCGGUAAUACGGAGGAUCCGAGCGUUAUCCGGAUUUAUUGGGUUUAAAGGGAGCGUAGGUGGAUUGUUAAGUCCGGUGUGAAAGUUUGCGGCUCAACCGUAAAAUUGCAGUUGAAACUGGCAGUCUUGAGUGAAGUAGAGGUGGGCGGAAUGCGUGGUGUAGCGGUGAAAUGCUUAGAUAUCACGAAGAACUCCGAUUGCGAAGGCAGCUCACUGGAGUGCAACUGACACUGAGGCUCGAAAGUGUGGGUAUCAAACAGGAUUAGAUACCCGGGUAGUC